Equus caballus (horse) is the source of this 2978-nucleotide long non-coding RNA. RefSeq lists it as uncharacterized. The record is from RefSeq and is a predicted model, not a curated record. NCBI's taxonomy places the organism in Eukaryota, Metazoa, Chordata, Mammalia, Perissodactyla, Equidae.
CACCUGGAACCGAAAGUAAGAGGGACUGGUGAGCAGGGCUGUGGACACCCACUGGAGGAUGCCGUCAGGCUAAGGAGAAAGGGAGGUAUUCAGGGUCCCUCCUGGGAGGCCUGAGGCAGGCCUCAGCAGGCAGCCCCCUCCACUGCCCUGGGCUAGCCCAGGCUGCCUCCUCUUUACUGGCAUCCACCCACCUGGGGGUGCCAGGACAGAGAUACAACGCCAGGCCUCACCACCAGGGGGCGGCUGGCUCCCACUCAUCCACAGCCAAACCCACACCUGCUGACAGAUGAUGCCACCCCAGGGGCAGUGACCCCCAGGGGCAGUGACAGGGACCAAAUGACCCUGCAAACCAGUGCUUCAUCACAUGGAUGUUGAGCACAGGACAGCUUUCACAGGGAGAGAGGAGAGACGCAGUCCAAGAAGCAGCUAAGGAAAUAACUAACACUGACAGGCCAGGACGAGUCAGGUGACCAUGCAUCAAGGCCAGGCCACCCUCCAUCCACCCAUGAUGUUUCCAUGAUGCCACAGGAGAGGGGCUCCCCCAAAGGACUCGGUCACAGCCCCUGGCCGCUCUCCGUCAGCUUCCUGCCUGUUACCCGGGCUGUGUGUGGGUGCCCGACGAGCUGGUGUGCCUCAGCAGGGGCCGUUCUCAGGGGUCUCUGCACCCUCAGGGAAGGCCUGCUGGGCCUGGCGGCCUGCUCUGCCCCUCCACAGACCCGGGCACUGUACGAUGACAGACUCCUUGCCCCAGCACCCUCAGCAUGGCUCCUGGGGCCCUCUUACAGGCUCAGGCCUCCCCUCUGAACCAACAAGGGCACUGCACCCUCGUCCUACAGCCCCAUUCUCUCUGGCCCCACUCUCCUCCCUCAGAUCAAGACCACACUGGCCCAUCACCUCCUCUCUUUUCCCCUUCCCAGUCCACCAGUGUCCUCCUAGCCUGGAGCUGGUCACUUGCCUUAGCUCAGAGCCCUCACCAGCAUACCCGGGGGACAUUGUCACCUUGGGAAAGGUCAUGUCAAGGUCAUCCCUGUUAUAUUUAGGCUGAGCUAAGGAAGAUGUCUGGGAUCAGAAUGGUCAUGAACUCGGGAACGCGUAGGACUGGGUGGGGAGAGUGGGUGGUCAUACUGUCCCCCUGCAGCAGGGUAGUUCAAACUGGCUCCCUGGGGCGAGGGGGAGGGGAUCUGAGGGAAGAGGAGCUGACACCCAAGUCUGCCCCCACAGGAGCCCAGGGGAGGUGUCAGGGUCCAGUCGCACCCAUUCUGGGGGGCCGUGGGGAUGAAUAGCACCCCAACAGGCCUUUCUCCCCUUUGUUGUCACAUCUGGCAAGGCUUGGCAGGAUGAACGUGGCCACCUGCCACACGCUGAGCUUGAGCUCUGGUGGACACCUCAUCCUAGCUGCGCUCCCAUGUCCUGUCUUCAAAGAGGAGUGGCAGCUCCGCCUCUACACUCCCUCCCCCAGCUUUCUCCCCAGGCCUCACCUGGCCUCUUCCCAUGGAAUCUGCCCUCCAAGGGCAAGCCCAUGCCUAGCCCUGCCUUCCAACCACUCCCAAAGGUGCCUCUCCAGCCCCGACCCCAGUUCCUACUGCCUUCUGCCUGAGGAUAACAGAGAUGACCUGGGGGUGAAGGGCCAUGAGCUGCUCAGGAUGCUGCUGGAAGAGCACAGAGCGCAAAGUCUCUUGUGGAACUGACAGCCGGGACUCAGCAUCCUAGCUCCGCUGAGGCAACACAAGGUGGCAGAUUUGGGAGUCCCAGCAUCUGCCUGCGAGGGAACCUCCCAGGCUGCCAAAAAGCAUCUGAGUCCAACAAACUCAGCAGAGGAAUGACUUCCUUUCCCAGAGGAAACCCGCUCCGGGACGCCACCAUCACUACCACCUCACCCCGCUCGGGUGCCCUCCUCUCAAAUGUCUCUCUGAUCCACCACAGUGGGUGUCUCCUCAGGCUGCAGGCACCCUCGCCCUGGACAGAGCAGCCACAUCAAGCCUCUUCAGCAUCACUGGGGAUCAGAGCAAGGUGGAGAGCAAGACAAGAAUCACCUUUCAGAAGAAAGUGGCCUAUGGGAAAGAUGCGACGAGGAAGAGGAAAGUCAGAUUCUCUGACAGAUGUCGCCAGCUGAAGAUUUGCAUGAACAAACCAGAGGAAUUCCUCAGCGUUGGAAGCAAACAUCUCAAAGCACAGCAAACCAAGGGAGCUCUGGCUAGGUGCUCUUAGCAAGCAGCUGGCGUUGGGAGAGGGGAGGAAAGCUCCAGGUGCCCCCUGACCCUUCCAGGGAUUCCAAGUCUGGACAGAUGAGAAACAGUUCCCCCUUCACUCUGGAGCUGAGCCCCCGAGUCAGAAGUGGCAAGAAGGAGGAAAACUCAGUAGCACUUUUCUCUCCAGCCACCAAGCGCCCUGUAGAGACCUCAAUGGUUCUGCCUUCCCUCUGGUGGGCAGGUCUGAGUACCUCUACCACUCCAUAGACGAAAACGCCAGUCUGAGAAGGAAGUUUGCUCCAAGUCACCCAGGGGAGCCCAGAAAGGCAGCUGGGCUGCAAAUGCCCAGUUUGACCCUCUGCUUCCAAGACAGAUUGCCUCUAGACAUGCCCCUUACCCUGUCUCAUCCAACAGAGCGGAGACCUCUGAGAAUUAAACUCCCAAAGACGAGCAGGUCGAGGAGUUCUUGCUCUGAUCAUGCCCCUUCCUGUGGCCCGGCAAGAAUUCCCAGGAGACAGGAGGAAAGUCCCCAGGCUCUGUCCCCACAGGGACCGAUCCCUCUGCCACCCAGCUCGGCCACCUCCUGCCUGGCGCCCCCAGAUGCCCCACAAUCUGCCCCACGGGCGGGACCCGACCACGGGUGGCCCCGCCAGGCCUCAUUUUUGGAAGCUGGCGCCGCCAGGCCCGCGGCCGGACACCAGGAAGGCAAAGUCCCUUUCCGGCCACCGGGUGCCUCGCCGCCCCGGGGCCGCCCUGCCCGGCCGCGCCCCCGCCCCGGCGCCCCGAACG